This 488-nucleotide ribosomal RNA is filed under the name uncultured Anaerolineaceae bacterium. RNAcentral describes it as "bacterial SSU rRNA". It matches the Rfam family "Bacterial small subunit ribosomal RNA", at positions 904 to 1382 of the family's 1533-position model. Lineage: Bacteria; Bacillati; Chloroflexota; Anaerolineae; Anaerolineales; Anaerolineaceae. The record is from RNAcentral.
CCUUGCCAGCCCGCUCAAGAACUUAAGGAAUUGACGGGACCCGCACAAGCAGCGGAGCGUGUGGUUUAAUUCGAUGCUACACGAAGAACCUUACCAAGGUUUGACAUGUAAGUGGUAGUGAUCUGAAAAGUGAACGACCCUUCGGGGAGCUUACACAGGUGCUGCAUGGCUGUCGUCAGCUCGUGUCGUGAGAUGUUCGGUUAAGUCCGCUAACGAGCGCAACCCUCACUGUGUGUUACAUGUGUCACACGGGACUGCCGGUUUUAAGCCGGAGGAAGGCGAGGAUGACGUCAAGUCAGCAUGGCCUUUAUAUCUUGGGCUACACACACGCUACAAUGGUCUGUACAAUAGGUUGCCAAGCCGCGAGGCGGAGCCAAUCCUUAAAGCAGGCCUCAGUUCAGAUUGCAGGCUGCAACCCGCCUGCAUGAAGAUGGAGUUGCUAGUAACCGCAGGUCAGCUAUACUGCGGUGAAUACGUUCCCGGGUCUU